UUCCAGGUGUUAUCAAACAUAGGUUACUGGUUGGUUUCUUGAAAUGGGGGAUUUGGAAACUGCUGAUUGAAGUUUCUGGUGAUUUGAAGUCAAAUAGAUCUCAAUUAAAACAAGUGGCGGAAGAAACCUCUUGAAAGCUUAAUACGUCUCAGUAUGCUGUCAUAUUGGUUGAUAUGCCUGGACAGGGCAUAGGGCAGAGACCAACAAUAUGAUGACAUUUUUAGACUAUUUUACCCUUGUAUUAAAAUUACUUAUUGGUAUACCUUUAUCUCUAUUGGUAAUGUUGUUCCAUGUGUAGUGAUGAAUACAUGAGGGACAUGGGUUAUAUGA
Non-coding RNA from Lactuca sativa (garden lettuce), 330 nucleotides. NCBI's taxonomy places the organism in Eukaryota, Viridiplantae, Streptophyta, Magnoliopsida, Asterales, Asteraceae. The record is from RefSeq and is a predicted model, not a curated record.